This is a long non-coding RNA of Anguilla rostrata (American eel), 1047 nucleotides long. RefSeq lists it as uncharacterized. The transcript is spliced from 3 exons. NCBI's taxonomy places the organism in Eukaryota, Metazoa, Chordata, Actinopteri, Anguilliformes, Anguillidae. The record is from RefSeq and is a predicted model, not a curated record.
GGUGGGGGCGCUGCCUGUGAGUCUGGGUCACGAAAGCAGCACGGAACAGGGUGAGAACAUUGCCAGUCAUUGUGGUUAAUUAAUGCCAAUUGACAGAGAUUACUGGAGAAGGCAGUGCGAUAACUGGCGGACAAGAAGCGUCCGCCUCGACCUCUCGCCGAGAGGAGACCGAACUGCAGGUAUUGCAGGAUUGGACGGACCAGGGCAUUGUAGUGUUUAUGGUUGGCUGUUCUGGUCCUCCACUGAAUCACGCCUGUCUCACAACCCCAUACCUCUCUCUCUCUCUCCGUCUCUCUCUCUCUCUCUCUUCGUCUCUCUCUGCCUCUCUCUCUCUCUCUCUGUCUCUCUGUCUCUCUCUCUCUCUGCCCCUCUCUCUCUCUCUCUCUGUUGGCUUGGUAUUCAGGGUCUUCCUUUCUAUUUAUUGCAUGUUUUCCAUACUUUCUAUUGGGUGUAUAUCCCAUUUAGUGCUGUUUGAGUUCAAGCCACCCUUCUGUGUAGUGUAGUGUAGUGUAGUCGACAGGACAAUACUCCACAUUCGUAAGCACACUUUCAAAGAUUCUGAGUAAGUACAUAAUGACGUCUGUCCUGCUCUCCGGACGCAGUGAGGUCGGAGCUCCAGAGACAGGGGAUUGUCCCAGAAUUCCUCCCCUGGUCCCACCUCUUUCCCUCUGUCCACCACGCUGUCCAGCGGUAUCGAAGACGGCUUCUCUCUGACUCAAGCAGAGAGCUCAGUGAUUUAACCCGACCUCUGGCAUCACGCUUGACCCUUGACCUCUGACCUCAGAGAAAAUGAAAAUGAACCAGCACUGUUGGAAGGCACAAUUCUCUUCUGCGCUGACGACAUCCCUUGGAAGUGAAAACAGCAUUAAUUGGAUCUAUUAAACGCUUCAAAUUAUUCUUUACAAUGGAACAUUGCUUUCAUCUUUUUGUUUCUGAGAGCUAUUUUUGUGUUUUGUGUGAGUGCAUUUUCCAUUCGGUUUAAAUGAUCGAGUAGGUUUCACUAAAUGUUUUUUUUUCCCCACAAUGAAUAAAAUUAAAAUAUAAUUA